RNAcentral lists this transfer RNA (82 nucleotides) under bacterium. Its description in RNAcentral is "tRNA-Leu". It matches the Rfam family "tRNA". From Rfam's summary of the family: Transfer RNA (tRNA) molecules are approximately 80 nucleotides in length. Their secondary structure includes four short double-helical elements and three loops (D, anti-codon, and T loops). The record is from RNAcentral.
GCCGAGGUGGCGAAACUGGCAGACGCGCCAGCCUUAGGAGCUGGUGGGGCAACCCGUGGGAGUUCGAAUCUCCCCCUCGGCA